CUCAUAAUCACAGCAUUCCAUAUACAGAAGAAAAAAAAAAGGAUCGAGGGAUGGAGAAAUGUUCCUUCAACUACUUAGCUCUGUUCAUGAUUUCAGUAUUGCUUAUAUGCUCAUGUAAUUUGCAGUACUCAGAAGUGGAAGCAAGGAAUAUAAAUCUCCCAUGCAAGACUGUUGAUGAUUGUAGUGAUGAUCCAUCACGGUGCCAAUGUGUACUCAACCUUUGUUUUUGCCACCUUCCUGCAGCAGCAGCUCAUGAUCAAAUCAUGAAUUUCAUGAUUAAACAAAAUGAAACUGAUCCUCAGCGUACAUGAAAAAGUACGCUCCGUCAAUCCCCAGAAGUACUAAUAAUAUUGUAGUACUGGUCCACCUUAUAAGAAAUAAAUUAAUAAAAGGAUCUCCUGAUCGUUCUUCUUAA
Molecule: long non-coding RNA, 415 nt
Organism: Juglans regia (Persian walnut)
Lineage: Eukaryota; Viridiplantae; Streptophyta; Magnoliopsida; Fagales; Juglandaceae
Exons: 2
Source: RefSeq, a predicted model, not a curated record